RNAcentral lists this ribosomal RNA (253 nucleotides) under uncultured bacterium. Its description in RNAcentral is "partial 16S ribosomal RNA". It matches the Rfam family "Bacterial small subunit ribosomal RNA", at positions 524 to 776 of the family's 1533-position model. The record is from RNAcentral. RNAcentral also lists the same sequence under 2 other names.
UACGGAGGGUGCAAGCGUUAAUCGGAAUUACUGGGCGUAAAGCGCAUGUAGGUGGUUAACUAAGUCAGCUGUGAAAUCCCCGGGCUCAACCUGGGCACUGCAGUUGAAACUGGUUAGCUAGAGUAGGGUAGAGGGGUGUGGAAUUCCAGGUGUAGCGGUGAAAUGCGUAGAUAUCUGGAGGAACAUCAGUGGCGAAGGCGACACCCUGGACUCAUACUGACACUGAGAUGCGAAAGCGUGGGGAGCAAACAGG